UGAUGUCUGUUCCUCUCAUUCUUGCAAGCCAUAGACAAUGGGAUUUUAUGUCAUCAAAUAAUAAAGCUGGCCUUUCUUCACUCAGUGUGUCUUUAGGUGGGUUUGGCCCUUUAUGGCACCACUGAAUUUUGCAGUCACACAUUC
Small nucleolar RNA from Python bivittatus (Burmese python), 144 nucleotides. RefSeq annotates it as small nucleolar RNA SNORA79. NCBI's taxonomy places the organism in Eukaryota, Metazoa, Chordata, Lepidosauria, Squamata, Pythonidae. The record is from RefSeq and is a predicted model, not a curated record.